Molecule: non-coding RNA, 85 nt
Organism: Didymella keratinophila
Lineage: Eukaryota; Fungi; Ascomycota; Dothideomycetes; Pleosporales; Didymellaceae
Source: the annotation of a GenBank genome assembly
GGGCUCGUGGUUUAGUGGUAUAAUACUCCCUUAGCAUCAAGCCCUUGAUUGGGAGUGGUCCGGGGUUCGAUUCCCCGCGAGUCCA